This 507-nucleotide ribosomal RNA is filed under the name uncultured stichotrichid. RNAcentral's name for it is "partial 18S ribosomal RNA". It matches the Rfam family "Eukaryotic small subunit ribosomal RNA", at positions 46 to 562 of the family's 1831-position model. The record is from RNAcentral. Lineage: Eukaryota; Ciliophora; Spirotrichea; Stichotrichida.
UAGCCAUGCAUGUCUAGUAUAAAUGUUAUACAGUGAAACUGCGAAUGGCUCAUUAAAACAGUUAUAGUUUAUUUGAUAAUCGAAUUUACAUGGAUAACCGUGGUAAUUCUAGAGCUAAUACAUGCUGUUAAGCCCNACUUUGNGGAAGGGCUGUNUUUAUUAAAUAACAAAUCAAUAUUCCUUGUGUCUAUUGUGNCGACUCAUAAUAACUGAUCGAAUCGCAUGGGCUUUGCCCGCGAUACAUCAUUCAAGUUUCUGCCCCAUCANCUUUCGAUGGUAGUGUAUUGGACUACCAUGGCUUUCACGGGUAACGGANGAUUAGGGUUCGAUUCCGGAAAGGGAGCCUGAAAAACGGCUACCACNUCUAAGGAAGGCAGCNGGCCCNUAAAUUACCCAAUCCUGACUCNGGGAGGUAGUGACAAGAAAUAACGGACCGNAGCAUUUGUNUCGGGAUUGCAAUGANUANAAUUUAAACCCCUUUACAACGAUCAAUUGGAGGGCAANUCU